Schistocerca serialis cubense is the source of this 4763-nucleotide long non-coding RNA. RefSeq lists it as uncharacterized. The transcript has 4 exons. NCBI's taxonomy places the organism in Eukaryota, Metazoa, Arthropoda, Insecta, Orthoptera, Acrididae. The record is from RefSeq and is a predicted model, not a curated record.
UUCACGUGUGCUCAUGUUUACAUGUUGUGUUUCUUCGUCUAUAAAGUGAAUUCUGUAUCUAAAGUAGUGUCUUCUAUAUCUCCAUCGAGAAUAGAGAGCUAUAAUCCAUAGUGGUGCCCUCGAAUACGUUUUCGAUCGCAAUUAUCCGUUUCGUUAAGCGCGUUGCAGUUACUCGUUACUGGCCAACAAACAAUGGAUCGCCCACGGUGUAGUGUUUAGGACCCUGCUUUUCAUUCCUACAUAUUGGACUUUGACUGCGAAGCACAGGCAACGUCGACAUUCCAAGUACCAGCUUGAAUUGAUUAUGGAUGUGCUAGCCAUACCGGCCUUCAUACAACGAAUCUAACCUCGUCUGCUACACGAGAAUUGAUCUAACCUCGUCUGCGCCACAGCAGGAUCCGCAUACUACAGCUACAGUCCAGAUGGCGGCUACCAUGUUCCUUUUGUCGUCCCAGAUCACGACAGUUGAAACAGGAAUUCAUACCACAACCUCUUGUCUCGACACAUCUUGUUCACAACAGAUGGACAAUUAUACCUGAUUCGUGUUGCAGUGUUCCGUUUGGCUUUCCGACUUACCGCCUCGUCCUUCAGCGACCACGGUCGUUCUACCCGCGCCGGUAAUUUUCUCAUCCGCUCGUGCCGCGUCGUGGAACCUCGGGCGACACACCACAUUCUCAUCUCACUUAAUAUGGCACCAUCAAUCAAGAUUUUGCAUCAUCCACCAGGGAGGUACCAGUGUAGCCAUCUACAACGCAGCCUCCUCCACAGCAUAUGGAAGGUUAACUGUUGGCUAUGCAACAUGCUCCCACAGUCAGAUUUCCCAAGCAGCCUCAACUACAAAAGGGAAAUCCAAAGACUUGGUUCGCCCUUGUGGACGACCUUCUAGACUUGCAUGGAAUGCUGGAUGAUGAUGCUCGGUUUAUUUUCUUCGUUAGUCACCUACAUGAUCACACAGAUCUUACCAGCAACCUACUAUUGGGCCAACAGCACAGCUCAAAUGUGCUACAGCAGGGCAAGAAUCAUUGAACACCUGUCAUGUCCACCGGCAGCUGUACAUCACAAAAUCCACAAAGAACACCUCAGCACAAGAUCGCAAUCGCAGCUGUGGAGGCACCUAUGGGAACAGGACUCGCGAAGUGGCAUGUCUGUCGGCGGUUGCAGCUCGCCAUGGAGUGAACCGGCGACUGGUAGCGGGGGACACUCCAACUGCAUCAAUGAGUGCAUCCAGCAUGAAGAACAGAUCGGUGGAACGAGUUGGUAUUUCCAGAACCCCACAUUCAAAAGUGCGUGGAAUCUGUGGCUGUCAGACCAGCAUCAAUUUGUUCUGCGUGCUCAGACCAGCAUUCAUCUCAUCAUCAGGUGGGGGGGGGGGGGGGGAUGAUGAACUCCUAUUGGCUCCUGAAAAUAUUGUUCUGGGCUUUCCAUCAACCACCCUUCCUGACUGGUUCCUGCCCUACCCCUUCCACACCCAGUCUCAUUUUGCCAGUGUCAGUUGGCCAGUGCGGUUGCUCCUUAGUUGUGUGUGUCAGUUUGUUGAAAAUGAAGCGUUCAGCAACAUCGACUACCAUCAGUGUGGGCAGAAAACGACAUAGAAUUGUAGAAGAAGAAGAAGAAGAUGAAGAAGAAGAAGAAUAUGGAUUGCCACAUACGUAAAUAAUUUUGUUUGUUUGUAAAUAUAUGGUUAUUGUGUAGAAAUCAGGAAAAAAAAUUUAGUGUGUUAAAAAAUUCUCAUCGGUAAUUCAGUUUCGUUUCCUUGUUUUACAAUGCAACUCCAGGAUUUUAUCCUAGAUUGCAAGGGGCAGAUAGGAGGAGGAAGAGGGCGCUAGGCCACAGGGAACUCUCCCUGUUGAGGUCCAGCCUCCUUUGGAAAGCCUGCAACUAGAACUGCUAUCUCACAUGGUGAAAAUGCUGCUUGAGCUGGAGGCAAUGCUGGAAGCUGAAAAAAUACACCACCCACACGCUGUCAAACAGCCUCCAGCAGCAAAUACACAGCACCAACAGUCACAUAAGUAUAGAAAAAAAGAGAUAUUUGUGUAGUAGUAGCUCUGUAAUUAAAUGUUUCGUCUUGUUGCAGCGACAAUUCUAGCGGGAUUAGACCUCCUAGACAGGCAGCUGGAGGCUGUUCACCAACUGCAGCAGCAGUCUUCAACACCCAGUGAGACAGCAGAGCAGUUUUGUGAGAUGGAUCGGAGGCACCAUAUUAACCCUGACAAGGAUGAGAAACCUGAAUGGGUCAGGGAAAUGGCUCUAGAUGAAGAGCUGCAAAGGCAGGGUGACCUGGCCCUUUUAGAGGAGGAUAGCUUCCCUGAAGGGGUGGUAGAGAUACCUGAUAAUGCCAAUGAAGUGUUCAUGCUAUAGACCCUGAGCGUGAAAUGUAAUUAUUAACUCUACUUAUAUAACAAUGCAGUCUGUAUUCUUUCUUUUUUUUUCUUACAGCAGCAGCAAGCAAUGUCUGGAACAUUGUACUUAAUUUUUUUCGUUAUUCUCUCUCUUCUACACUGGCUACAUCUGCACAGCUGCAGCAGAGCGUGAUGUAGGUAGCAGUGGGGGCUAAACCUACCUAAUCAAAGUGGCAUCUGGUGAACCAUGCUGCACUGGCAAAAACACAGCUAGUCGCCAUGUGAGAGGCCACAGCCAACACCUUGUCUGCCACAGUCAUCCCAGCACCGCAUCUGUGGAUUUAACAAUAAGCUACCACCUGUCAGGUUAGUGGGUCAGGCCUACAGCAGCAUCAGCAUUGAAGCUGUUGCUACAGCCAGGCUGUUCCCACUGGCCUGACCCAAUAGAUCCUCCUCAGUCAUGGCGGCCAGUGUGGCCGAGUGGUUCUAGGCACUACAGUCUGGAACCGCGUGACUGCCACAUUCGCAGGUUCAAAUCCUGCCUCAGGCAUGGCUGUGUGUGAUGUCCUUAGGUUAGUUAGGUUUAAGUAGUUCUAAGUUAUAGGGGACUGAUGAGCUCAGAAGUUAAGUCCCAUAGUGCUCAGAGCCAUUUUUUUAAGAUGUUGUGGAGAUGGUGAACACUACAGUAGAGUUUACAAAACCUAUUUAUGUGGGGAUACGCAUACAAGACCUAUCAGAAAAUGGUUCAAAUGGCUCUGAGCACUAUGGGACUUAACUUCUGAGAUCCUCAGUCCCCUAGAACUUAGAACUACUGAAACCUAACUAACCUAAGGACAUCACACAUGCAUGCCCGAGGCAGGACUCGAACCUGCAACAAUAGCAGCAACGCGGUUCCGGACUGAAGCGCCUGGAACCGCUCAGCCACUCCGGCCGGCCAAGACCUAUCCAAACUCCACAUGUACCACUUUCGUUCUGAGUUGGCGAAAAUCAUUUUGCAGAUCCUAAAUUACUGUAUAUGGAUACAGACAGCUUCAUCUGCAGGGUGAAGAAUUGUUAUCCAUAUGAAGUAAUGAGGUACCACAGUGAUGAAUUCGAUGUGUCCUCAUACAUGUCCAAUAAUCGUUGUGGCAUUCUUCCACAGAACAAGGUUAUCAGCCGUAUAAAAGACGAGGAGAAUGGAUAGCAAAUUGUGGAGUUUGUAGGUCUGUGAUAAAAAAGUGUAAGCAAAUCGCACAUUGGAUGGUGCCACCUAGAGGUGGGCUAAGGGUGUGCAUCAGAUGGCAUCGUGCACCCUCUCUGUCGAAGACUAUUUGCAGUGCGUGUACAUCAGUGUCUGCAGUGCAUAUGGUAAGGCAAACUAGUAUUCUAUCGAGAGGACUGUGCUGCAGUCUAAAAUCGGCCUGUUGCCUCAUAUUGAUAAAAGGGUCAUUUGUGAUGGGAUUGAAACUUACCCAUACUCACACUACUUGCUUCUCACUUGUAGCGAGAGAAGGGAUGGGGGAGCAGUUCUGAUUGAGUGAAAGAGAGAAAGAGUGAGAGAGAGAGCGCCGGCCGAAGUGGCCGUGCGGUUAAAGGCGCUGCAGUCUGGAACCGCAAGACCGCUACGGUCGCAGGUUCGAAUCCUGCCUCGGGCAUGGAUGUUUGUGAUGUCCUUAGGUUAGUUAGGUUUAACUAGUUCUAAGUUCUAGGGGACUAAUGACCUCAGCAGUUGAGUCCCAUAGUGCUCAGAGCCAUUUGAACCAUUUUUGAGAGAGAGAGCGAGUCUACAGAGUAGUAGUGUGACCCCUUUAUCAUAAUGUAAGUGGUUGUGUGUGUAUGUGUGUGUGUGUGUGUGGUGUAAAUAUUUAUUUAUUUAUGUGUACUAUAUACAUGUGCACACACCAUGUAUGGAAAAAAGCACAAAAAAUGUAUGUUUAGUGUGUGUGUGUGUGUGUGUGUAUAUAUAUAUAUAUAUAUAUAUAUAUCUCACAGUCCCUUAGAAUUUUUGUAAAAUUUUUGGUAAUUGGGCCGUGGAAAUUAGUUUCUAGGUGUACACACUAAAUCAAAAUUAUUGUAAAAGCUAUGCUUCUGGGAUUGUGGACUUUAGUUGUAGAAGUAAAAAAAGUAUCUCCUUGUUAGUUUUUAGCAUAGAUUUGUAUAUUUGGAAAUAUUGUAAACAUUCUCAUCCAGUGCUGUUUGUAAAAACACUUGUAAAUGUAUUCUCAACCAGUAUCACUGUUGUAGUAUGUAAGUUAAAAGUGUCCCUGCAUUGGAAUAUCAGAGUCAAACUGUACCUCAAGAACUAUGUUGUACCUCAAGAACCAUACUGUACCUGAAGAACUGUAUUGUACCUUGAGAACUGAAAUGUAUCUCAAGAACUGUAUUGUAUCUCAUGAACUGAAUUGUAUCUGUGUGAACUGAAUAAAUGAAAAAAUCGUUACUGUA